This is a long non-coding RNA of Syngnathoides biaculeatus (alligator pipefish), 811 nucleotides long. RefSeq lists it as uncharacterized. NCBI's taxonomy places the organism in Eukaryota, Metazoa, Chordata, Actinopteri, Syngnathiformes, Syngnathidae. The transcript is spliced from 4 exons. The record is from RefSeq and is a predicted model, not a curated record.
CAUCCAACCAAUCCCGCCAGAUGCUGGUUAAAUGCAGACCCGCCAUCGCCCCCUAACGGCCGCGAGCAGCAUGUCUGGUGACGUCACUUCCAUGAGACAGGACGUUUGUUUUACGAAGGCCCAUCUCUGCAAUUCCGCUUCCAAGAAGUUGAAACGCACGCACGUCCGAAAAUAGGAAGUGAGCAGCCCUAACUAUAAACAAGCGUGCGCGCGUGUUGCGUUUACGUGUGCGUGCCCGACUUGAUUGGGCGUCGCGGUGACAGCAUCACGGCGGGGUCACGGGAACCUCCUCCCACCCGUCAACCGACGGCCCGCCGUCGCUCGUCUUACCUGCUCCGGGUUCCGCUCGAGAUUUUGCCGGCUCGCACGACCCCGACGGACGCCACCCACCAGUCCGAGGCGGCGGCGGCGUAGUAGACGGGCGGCUGCGGCGAGGCGCAGGUGGCGCUGGCGCGGUCGUCCAGGCCGCAGGCGCCCAUGUUGGCGAAGAGCAGCCAGUCGCCCACGCUGAGCUCGGGCAGGAGGCAGCGCUCCACCACCAGGUCCAGCUGGUCCAGCGUGGGACCCCGCAGGCCGCUGGGGUGCACGGCCGCGUCGGCGCACGGCGCGCGCUGCGGAAACCAUUGACACAAGGUGCCGAAUUUUCCAACAAUUCCAAAGUUUACUGCCCACCACGACUGACUUCCUGCGGAUUUUGUUGCUAAACUGAACCUAAAAUGGCCGCCCCCCCCCCCCAGGUAAACAAAUCCCUUGCGAACAAGUCAACACGUCUUAUCUACAUUGUGGAUGACGCUAGUCUGACAUAAUCAAA